This is an RNA transcript of Leguminivora glycinivorella, 5001 nucleotides long. It is a transcript of the gene named ral GTPase-activating protein subunit beta, with no coding region annotated. The transcript is spliced from 31 exons. NCBI's taxonomy places the organism in Eukaryota, Metazoa, Arthropoda, Insecta, Lepidoptera, Tortricidae. The record is from RefSeq and is a predicted model, not a curated record.
GGGUGAAAACUUGUGAAAAUCUGCAAGAAAUAACUCGGGAUACAGACUUUCUACCUGUAUAGAAUACAUCAAUUUUUAAACUAAUAGCAUUAUAAAGCAUUAGCUUAGUCUGUGAGUUCACAAAUCACAACAUCGUUUUUAAGUGUGUUUUGUUAUUGUUUACGAAGCAGCUUGCUGCGCGUUGACUUGGAGACGAACGGGACAGCCGACGGCACCGUUAUACCUUAUUUAUGAAUGUGGGAAUCUUCAAUAGAGUCAACCAUAAGAACAAGGAUUCAGGCGGUAUGUACGCCGAGUGGAGCUCGCUGCCGCUGGAGGGCGGCGGGCACGGCGUGCUGGGCGCCGUGGGCGGCGCGGCCGGCGCGGGGCGCGACGUCGUGCUGGCCGUCGUGCGCCAGCUCACCUCGCACGAGCCCAGCCCGCUCACCACCGACGCCGAGGUGGAAUGGGUCCUCGAAGUGAUCCGCUUCGGUCUCUCCCUGCCUCUCCACGAGCACGAGGCGCUCCGCGACUGUGUCCGCGUGUGCUGCUCCUGGCUGUCCCCGCUGCUGCCGCCCGCGCCCCCCGCGCAGCCGCCGCCCCCCGCCGUGCCUCCACCGGUAGCUGCGGCGCCGAAGAGAUACGCUAGGAAGAUAUUAAGACACCUGCAUAACCUCUUCGUGCCACGGCCUAAUGAGACACUCACAUUCAUAUAUCAGACGGAGCUGGGCGGCGACCUCAUCGGCAAGCAGGCCGUGCUCUGCCACCGGGUUCUCCGUCUCGCUCGCACCGUCGCCGGCUCAGCUGACCUGGGCGCUGCUGAGUGGAAGUCUCUUUUACUCCUAUUGCUGGCUGCAGCAAGGGCAUUACUGUCUCCACCCGCCCCGCACCACUCGUCGGCUGAUCAGCUGUGCAGAAGAGUUUUAGCUGUGUUGCUAGAAGUGUGGCUGUUGGCGUGUCACAGAUGUUUCCCGUCACCCCCGCUGUGGCGCACGCUCCGCGAACAAUGUAUUCGCUGGCGGCACCGCGCACCACUGACGGAGCAAUGGACAAGGGUUUCACUCUGUCUUACGGCGCGUCUACUACGCCAUAUGUACGGCCCGACGUUCCCUAAGAUGCCUAUCAGUGAGGAAGACGCUAACCUGAUCCCACCAGACAUGUCUGCCGAAGCGGUCAUGCAAUCCUGGUACCGCAUACUCCACACCAUUGGAAACCCAGUGGAUCUUUGCCGGCCGCAUGUCAUCAGCCAGACUCCAGACUUUUUGCAGUACUCAGUGCUCGAGGAGGGAGCGCGCGACCCGUCGCAGCACCCGUGCCUGCAAGCGCUGCCGGCGAUCUUCCAUAAUGCCAUGCGCGGUCUCGCAGCUCAUGUCGACGCCUUCCUCGGGCGGGGCUCGGAGCGGUGGUGGGAGGCGGGAGUCAGCGGGUCCCACAUCGCCGAAGAGGGCGACACGCCCCCCGCACAUCGCCGACUUGCUAAAUCCUACAGCGUGGCUGGCAAGGCCAGGGACAAGACUGAGAAAGGUACCCCGCGGUCAUCUCUGAUCGGCCUGACCGGCGGAGGCAGCAGGCCCGCCAGCGUGGCGCCGACUACGCCUCCUAACUCUAUCGUCUCGCAAGUGUGUGAUUCGGAGAAGUCGCCGCUGACUCCGUUGCGUCCGAAAGUGAACUCGAUCUUCCAUUUGUUCGGCGAGUGGCUGUUCGAAGCGGCACUCAUUGGGACUACGCCGUCUUACAACAACCAACAGCGUGCCGACGGUACUCCACCGCCGCCAUCUUUGUCGGAUGCCACUAGCAAGCUGAACAUGGCAGCUUACCAACCAGGUCGCGCCGAAGCCCUAGGCGCUUUAUGCCGCGUACUCUGUUCAAAGCAGUGCCGCGAAGAAGUGUCAGCUCAAUACCUAGCACGUUGCUAUGCUGCUAUACAUCGCGGGCUGAGAGACCCACCUACUGCGCCCGCAGUUGUGUUAAAUGCACCUGAUAUAUUCAGAUUGGAUCUAGACGGCGUGUUAGUACUAGUUCCUGACUUCAUCACAGCAUUAGAGCACAUCCUCACAGAGCGAGAGCCGAAGCUAGAGUGUGGUUCCAUAGACAAGAGAGAACUGCGUAAGGCAGCCAUAAGCGCACUGUUGUCUCUGGUCGCUUUCCCGCACCAUUAUAAGGGCCUGCCCGUUCCGGAGUUCCCUGGAUGCAAUGAGUACGCCGGCAUGACACUAGGCGACUACGCCCGCGGGAAGAUCUCCCUAAUCUGUGUAACAGCCGUCCAAGUGGAGACCUCCGACGCGCUUGCAGUGCCUUUACUCAGCGCCCUGUAUCUGUGUGUGCGACACAACGCGCAAGUAUACACGGCGAGCAAGGCGCAUAGCGCGCCGCCCGGCUCCACUAUGUCGCAUAGCACGGAUUAUAAAGCGCGCUCCGACGGCGGCGCGGAGCCCUCGCUAGACGAUCUCGUCACCGACCUGGACCCCGCAUCGCCGCUCUUUGGUGCGGCCUUGGUAGUGCGAGCCACUUACCUAGUCUGCCACCGCCUCAUCUCCUCGUGGAAGGGAGACCUGCAGGUGUCGCUGGCAGCGUUGGAGCUGCUCUCUGGGCUGGCUAAGCUGCACUCUGCUAAACCAGAAGCCAUAGAGCGCAAGCGCGCCGUCCGCUGGAUCUGCGACUACAUCAGCAUCCAAUGCAGCCGGCCGCCCCCGGCGCACUCGCGCGACCUGCACUCGUGCGUCGUGGCCGCCUACUCGUGCCUCGCCUCGUGGCUGUGCCCCGCGCUGCUGGCCGACCCCGACUGCCUCGCCGCGCUCAUGGAGGUGGUGGAGCUCGGCAUCUCGGGCACCAAGAGCCAGGGCAAAUCUGGCGAGCAACCAAAGAUGAAAGACGAGAAGGAACUGAAGCCCGUUUCCAUGAGAGUGCGCGACGCCGCGGAAUCAUUGCUGAUGCUCAUUUUGGAACAGGUGGGAUCUGAAUCUCCGGGCACCGGUUGGUGCCGAUUGGAUGAAAGGUGGCUAUCGGCGUUGGGGCACGGUCGCUUGCGCCAUUACGUCGCCGAUGGCAACAUCCUUCUAUCGCUAUUGGAGGAACCGCUAGCGAAUAGCCAGGAACCUCAGCCUACACUUAUCGUGAUCAUCCGCUGCGGCUGGGGCCGCUUCGCGUGGUCCAUGAGCAACCGCGGCGCGCCGCGCUCGGGCGCGCGCGGCGGCGGCGCGGCGUGCGCGCGCCCCGUCGACAUCACCGAGCCGCCGCCGCGCCCCGCGCCCGUCUGCCGGCCCUUACCGCCCGCGCCGCCGCCGUGCGCUGUAGACAGCGCAUUCCCAAGCCUGGAAGCGGUGUUGCGCCAGCUGAACGAUCCGGAGGCGCCCACUCUGUUCAAGCUGCUUGAACAACAGGCCGCUGUCGAGAAACGCAUUCAGGAGAGCGAAAAUGACGCCGUGCCGGAAGAGUGCGUACCGCCGGAGCCAGUGACGGAGUUCCAGACGGCGCGAUUAUUCUUGUCGCACUUCGGAUACCUCAACAUCGGCGGGGAAAGAAAGGGUAUGGGACCACGUUUGGUGGCGCUUGACGACUCAGCCCCCGGUUUCGCGGCAGCUCUACGACGCGUGGACGCCUGUGGCGCACGCACAGUGCUGACGGUUCAUGUGCUCCUGGCGAAAGCCGGUCAGCGCACGGCGGCUGACAUCGUGGCUAACUCGCGCAGGCCACCGCCGGCGGCGUUCGCUAAGAUGCUACGAGGGUUAGGCAAGCCGGUCCGUGUCCGCGGCCACCCAGGCUGGACGGGCCACGUAGCCACAAGUUACGACGCGCAGCCGGAAUACUUGUCCACGCCUCCCCCCACGCCGUCCGAGGACAAGACUCCUUCCAUCUACGACGGCAGGGAACAGGUACUAUACUGGUCUGACUCCAGCAACGAGAUCGCGUUCGUCGUGCCGUCAGGACAUGAAGUUGUUGACACGGACGAUAAGAGCGACUCUAAAUCUGACACCGACGGAAACUGCUUAUCUACCAGGAGUUCAGAAAAGGCAGCAGGUUCGUGCUGGGACGUCUCAAGCAACAGUUCAGGCGCGCUGUCUUACGAACGAAGCAUCAGCGAAUCGGACAAGGCGGAGCGAGGCCGCUCCAGUCUCAACGAGAAAGUGCGCGCACUGUCUCUAGACCUUGACAAGCAACCAGGCGCUCAGCUAACUGGAAGCGGUAGACGUAAUCGUGACUUCACGACGAAGAUUCUGGUUAUCUGGUUGGAAGAUUUUGAAGAUCAUCUAAAUCUUCCAAUAGAUGACUUGCUCCGCUAUUGCGAAACCGGCCUCCCGUGGCGGCGCCACGAGGCGCACUGCAUCUGCGUGUCUCCGCGGCGCUCGGGUCUGCUCCGCGUGCACACCGUGCCGCGCGCGGCGGGCGUGCUGUGCGACGGCGCGCUGCUGUCGCCGCAGCUGCUGCCCGCGUGCCUGCGCCGCGCCGCGCGCUACCUGGCGCGGCCCAUACGACUCAACACCGACCUAUAUCAACCCCCGCACGUACGUCGCCGCCAUCUUAUCCAAGAGUUAGCGCAGCAGUUCAAGAGGGAACUCACCGAACCAGAACUAUUGGAGUCACUCUUUAAACCACCUGCCUAAACGACGACCCAAUAAAACGUAUAAGAUGGUCACCCCUUUAACGUCUGGGGAUAUGGCCUUUAUCGUCUAUCAUAGAUUAUCUACCAACGUAAAGCCUAACCAAAAAUAUAUGACUACGCGCCAUCUUGCGGAAUUUCAUUAGAACUAUUUUCUUCAUACUAAACUGAACUGUCACUCCAUACAUCAGAAUAACAGCGCCCUCCUGAUAAUAGUCAUAUACUUAUGGUCAGGCUUUACACGGUUAUCCUCAAAACCCUCGUCAGGUAUAACCUUGUCAAGGAGUUAUUGCAGUUCAUGAGGGAACUCACUGACCAGAACUAUUGGAGUCACUCUUUAAACCGCCCGCUUGAAUGCAAGAAUAGCUGUUACUAUAACCGCCCGUGUAUCGUGUGUAUGGCUUGCCACAGACAGUCUUAAAAAU